Molecule: unclassified non-coding RNA, 22 nt
Filed under: Chlamydomonas reinhardtii
Lineage: Eukaryota; Viridiplantae; Chlorophyta; Chlorophyceae; Chlamydomonadales; Chlamydomonadaceae
Description: small RNA Cre_0227
Source: RNAcentral
ACAUGCGGUGAAUGUGAAUGAU